RNAcentral lists this transfer RNA (63 nucleotides) under Onymocoris hackeri. Its description in RNAcentral is "tRNA-Pro". The record is from RNAcentral. Lineage: Eukaryota; Metazoa; Arthropoda; Insecta; Hemiptera; Thaumastocoridae.
CAAGACAUAGUUUAUAUAAAAUAUUAAUUUUGGAGAUUAUUGAAGGCUAAUAGCUUGUUUUGA